This 265-nucleotide signal recognition particle RNA is filed under the name Bacillota bacterium. Its description in RNAcentral is "signal recognition particle sRNA large type". It matches the Rfam family "Bacterial large signal recognition particle RNA". From Rfam's summary of the family: The signal recognition particle (SRP) is a universally conserved ribonucleoprotein involved in the co-translational targeting of proteins to membranes. Archaeal SRP consists of a 7S RNA and homologues of the eukaryotic SRP19 and SRP54 proteins. The record is from RNAcentral. Lineage: Bacteria; Bacillati; Bacillota.
CCGUGCAGGACGGGGCGGUAGCGGCGCCUUGUAACCAUCAAUCCGCUGUAGUUGGGUCCAUGUCCGCGCCAAGGGCCUGCCUUGUGGGGCAGCUCCAUAUAAGCGAUGUUGAAGAUCGGGUCCCGCGCGGCGGGCUGCCGUGAACCCCGUCAGGUCCGGAAGGAAGCAGCGGUAAGCGGAUCUGUCCCGGGCGCCGCGGGCCAGCCUGAUCUGAGUUGGCUGUAUGGGAAGCGCCUGUAAGGUAUGUUCGAAGCCGGACGCACGG